AGGGAGAAAGCAGGGGAUCGCAAGACCUUGCGCGAAUGGAGCGGCCGAUGCCGGAUUAGCUAGUUGGUAGGGUAAAGGCCUACCAAGGCGACGAUCCGUAGCUGGUCUGAGAGGAUGAUCAGCCACACUGGAACUGAGACACGGUCCAGACUCCUACGGGAGGCAGCAGUGGGGAAUUUUGGACAAUGGGGGCAACCCUGAUCCAGCCAUUCCGCGUGAGUGAAGAAGGCCUUCGGGUUGUAAAGCUCUUUCGGCAGGAACGAAACGGUGGGGGCUAAUACCCUCCGCUAAUGACGGUACCUGAAGAAGAAGCACCGGCUAACUACGUGCCAGCAGCCGCGGUAAUACGUAGGGUGCGAGCGUUAAUCGGAAUUACUGGGCGUAAAGCGUGCGCAGGCGGUUCUAUAAGACAGAUGUGAAAUCCCCGGGCUUAACCUGGGAACUGCGUUUGUGACUGUAGGACUCGAGUGUGGCAGAGGGGGGUGGAAUUCCACGUGUAGCAGUGAAAUGCGUAGAGAUGUGGAGGAACACCGAUGGCGAAGGCAGCCCCCUGGGUCAACACUGACGCUCAUGCACGAAAGCGUGGGUAGCAAACAGGAUUAGAUACCCUGGUAGUCCACGCCCUAAACGAUGCGAACUAGGUGUUGGGGAAGGAGACUUUCUUAGUACCGCAGCUAACGCGUGAAGUUCGCCGCCUGGGGAGUACGGUCGCAAGAUUAAAACUCAAAGGAAUUGACGGGGACCCGCACAAGCGGUGGAUGAUGUGGAUUAAUUCGAUGCAACGCGAAAAACCUUACCUACCCUUGACAUGCCAGGAACUUGCCAGAGAUGGCUUGGUGCCCGAAAGGGAGCCUGGACACAGGUGCUGCAUGGCUGUCGUCAGCUCGCGUCGUGAGAUGUUGGGUUAAGUCCCGCAACGAGCGCAACCCUUGUCAUUAGUUGCCAUCAUUUAGUUGGGCACUCUAAUGAGACUGCCGGUGACAAACCGGAGGAAGGUGGGGAUGACGUCAAGUCCUCAUGGCCCUUAUGGGUAGGGCUUCACACGUCAUACAAUGGUCGGUACAGAGGGUUGCCAAGCCGCGAGGUGGAGCCAAUCCCAGAAAGCCGAUCGUAGUCCGGAUCGGAGUCUGCAACUCGACUCCGUGAAGUCGGAAUCGCUAGUAAUCGUGGAUCAGCAUGUCACGGUGAAUACGUUCCCGGGUCUUGUACACACCGCCCGUCACACCAUGGGAGUGGUUUCACCAGAAGUAGGUAGCCUAACCGCAAGGGGGGCGCUUACCACGGUGGGAUUCAUGACUGGGGUGAAGUCGUAACAAGGUA
Molecule: ribosomal RNA, 1320 nt
Filed under: metagenome
Description: bacterial SSU rRNA
Rfam family: Bacterial small subunit ribosomal RNA
Source: RNAcentral